Long non-coding RNA from Pezoporus occidentalis (night parrot), 2077 nucleotides. RefSeq lists it as uncharacterized. The record is from RefSeq and is a predicted model, not a curated record. The transcript has 4 exons. NCBI's taxonomy places the organism in Eukaryota, Metazoa, Chordata, Aves, Psittaciformes, Psittacidae.
AGAAGCUGCUCUCCCGAGGGAGGGCCAGUCACAUCAUGGCCCCCAGGGCCAUGGGGUGGGGGCACUGGGUGAUCUCAGUUGGAUCCUAAGACCAUGAGCAAGGUCCUCAGCUCUUGUUCAAGGUCCUAACCCCCAAGCAAGGUCCUAAGCCCAUGAACAAGGUCCUAAACCCAUGGCUGAGGUCCUAAAUACAUGAGUGAGGUUCUAAUUCCACGAGCAAUGUCCUAAACCCACGAGCAAGGUCCUAAACCCAUGAGUGAGGUCCUAAGGACUCAAGCAAGGUCCUAAGGACUCAAGCAAGGUCCUAAGCCCACAAGCAAGGUCCUAAGCCCACAAUCAAGGCUCUAAACCCAGAAGCAACCCCGGAUUUUGCUGUAGCUCUGUAUGAGCAGGGAUCUGCAUUUCUGGCUCCGGGCAGCACAUGGCCACAGACAUCACUCGGUGAAUCCAAAGCUGCCUCCGUGAUGUGCACCACAGGGGAAGGCCAUCCUGAAAGUGAAAAGGUCACAAAGACAAGGGGAAACCUCAAUGACUCAUAAACCCCCCACAUGUAUCACCCGCGUCUGGGACAGCGUCCAUGGGGUGCCCUGUCCGUCAUUGCCACUGGCCUUCAGUAGGGUUGCAAAGCAGGAAAACCCUGCAGGACACCACGUCUCAUGAUGGGUGUUUGGUGCCUCCAUGCAUCGAAGUACAAAGAGCAUUCCCAACGUUGUCCUGCCUGCCCUGGGAAGCUCCCAGAGGGAUGAGGCCAUGCCAGAUGUACCGGGGGGGUCCCUGGCAAGCACAGGGAGCUGCCAAGGGUGGGAUGAUGGAAGCAGGAGGUACUCAUUCACCCCCCAUUUAUCAUUUUUCCCUGUUUCUGGGAAAGCUGAUGCAAGGAAAGAGCUUCCACCAGAGGAAUGUAGAGGAAAGGCACUGCCUAAGGCUGAAAUGCAACCUACCAAAUGCCACGCACAAAGAGGCGGCCCCUGCAACCCCAAAUGCUUCAAGCAUCUGCUCAUUUCCUCCUUUCCUUGUUUUUAUCCUUUUAAGUGUUUCUUGGCAUUUGGUUCUCCCGAGCCCUUUCGAGGCUGAUCCAUGGAGCUGGAGUCUCACCAAGCAGAUCUGAGCAGUGCCAGUGACAGCGUGACCGAGGGCAAGAGCCAGCUUGUGGCAAAGAUCCUUCAGCUUUCCUAUGGGAAAACCCAGCCUCUGGUGCCACGAGCAAGUGUAGGUCUUGGAGAUGGUGCAAGGCUCAAAGACAGCUCCAGGAGAAGGAUUAGAGUCCAAGGGUCCUAAAUAGGCAAAUGUUGAGCAUCUUCCCUGCUGACCCCAUCUGGCCUCUCCAUGCCCUGUAGAUGGAGCUGAACAGGAAUUCAGUGAUCAAUGAACAUCAGUGAUUAAAUCACCCAUUAAGUCAGCUACACUGGCUUGGGGUGGGGGUACAGGGGUAGGAGAGGGUGCAAAGGCAGGCUGCCACAUGAAGGUGAUGGCAGGAGAAGUCACACAUGUGCCAGAUAUUGCCAACACCCAGCCUUGGGAGGCUUUAAUCCCUGUGGGAAACAGCACUGGCUGCUUUCCCUGGUUGCAGUCCAGGAGUGAACAUAGGAACAUGAGCCAAAGGCAAAGGCAAAGGUACCAGACAUGCUGGCAGGACCUAGCUCAGACCCAAUGAGCGUGCAGCAAAUGAAGCAUCCUCAGUGCAGUGACUGAGGUCCCUGCUGCCCCUUGCAGGUCCCAGCCUCACCUGGGUGCCCCAUUGUGCCUUAUUCCUGGACAUACUGUCCAGCACUUCCUAACCUUGAGACGUUUGUCUCCUCGUGUCUGAUCCAGAGGAGGCAAAUUCACCUUUUCCACAAGGGAUUCCACCCUGGAUCUGCAGAAACAUGGCUCAUACGUGCUGGUGGACACCCCAAGACCCCAAGCACAUCACCCAGAUCAGCGAAGAGAGGGGACCCCGGUGCAGUUUUCAUGACCCCAAGUGGGAUCACACACUGAACACAUAUAGAUGGGAAAGCACAUGAAGCCUGUUUAAUGGUCUGCUAUUCAUUUUGGUUUAAUCUUGAUGUAAUGAUUCCAGAUUAUAUUGUUAUAUGCU